AAUAUUGCACAAUGGAGGGAACUCUGAUGCAGCAACGCCGCGUGAGUGAAGAAGGUUUUCGGAUCGUAAAACUCUGUCAUUGGGGAAGAAUAAAUGACGGUACCCAAUGAGGAAGCCCCGGCUAACUACGUGCCAGCAGCCGCGGUAAUACGUAGGUGGCAAGCGUUGUCCGGAUUUAUUGGGCGUAAAGCGCGCGCAGGCGGUCUUUUAAGUCUGAUGUGAAAUCUUACAGCUUAACUGUAAGCGGUCAUUGGAAACUGGGAGACUUGAGUGCAGAAGAGGAGAGUGGAAUUACAUGUGUAGCGGUGAAAUGCGUAGAGAUUAGGAGGAACACCAGUGGCGAAGGCGACUUUCUGGACUGUAACUGACGCUGAGGUACGAAAGCGUGGGUAGCGAACA
RNAcentral lists this ribosomal RNA (399 nucleotides) under uncultured bacterium. Its description in RNAcentral is "partial 16S ribosomal RNA". It matches the Rfam family "Bacterial small subunit ribosomal RNA", at positions 360 to 774 of the family's 1533-position model. The record is from RNAcentral.